UGGCCAGACUCCUACGGGAGGCAGCAGUGGGGAAUAUUGCACAAUGGGGGAAACCCUGAUGCAGCGACGCCGCGUGAGUGAAGAAGUAUUUCGGUAUGUAAAGCUCUAUCAGCAGGAACGAGACAAGACGGUACCUGACUAAGAAGCCCCGGCUAACUACGUGCCAGCAGCCGCGGUAAUACGUAGGGGGCAAGCGUUAUCCGGAAUCACUGGGUGUAAAGGGAGCGUAGACGGCUGUGCAAGCCUGAAGUGAAAGGCGGGGGCCCAACCCCUGGACUGCUCUGGAAACUGUUGUACUUGAGUGCAGGAGAGGUAAGUGGAAUUCCUAGUGUAGCGGUGAAAUGCGUAGAUAUUAGGAGGAACACCAGUGGCGAAGGCGGCGUACUGGACUGUAACUGACGUUGAGGCUCGAAAGCGUGGGGAGCAAACAGGAUUAGAUACCCGCGUAGUA
This 451-nucleotide ribosomal RNA is filed under the name uncultured bacterium. Its description in RNAcentral is "bacterial SSU rRNA". It matches the Rfam family "Bacterial small subunit ribosomal RNA", at positions 328 to 795 of the family's 1533-position model. The record is from RNAcentral.